CUCUGCAUCUGAAAGUGAUCAUGGGCUCCCUGAGCCCCAUUAAUUGAUAGUGCAGGGAUAGGAAUUGCUUAAAGUAGUUUUGCCCAUGUUUGGAGGGUGCAGCUGCUCCUCCCAAACCCUGGAGCUUUCACACA
Small nucleolar RNA from Cynocephalus volans (Philippine flying lemur), 134 nucleotides. RefSeq annotates it as small nucleolar RNA SNORA71. NCBI's taxonomy places the organism in Eukaryota, Metazoa, Chordata, Mammalia, Dermoptera, Cynocephalidae. The record is from RefSeq and is a predicted model, not a curated record. The transcript has a single exon.